UUUUGACAUUCUAGAAAAAAUAGAGUUCGUGUUUCGGCCACGAAAAUGGGGGUGGUUCUCCUGUCAAAAA
Molecule: transfer RNA, 70 nt
Filed under: Posthodiplostomum centrarchi
Lineage: Eukaryota; Metazoa; Platyhelminthes; Trematoda; Diplostomida; Diplostomidae
Description: tRNA-Arg
Source: RNAcentral